Molecule: ribosomal RNA, 253 nt
Filed under: uncultured bacterium
Lineage: Bacteria
Description: partial 16S ribosomal RNA
Rfam family: Bacterial small subunit ribosomal RNA
Source: RNAcentral
UACAGAGGGUGCGAGCGUUAAUCGGAAUUACUGGGCGUAAAGCGUGCGCAGGCGGUCUGCUAAGACAGGUGUGAAAUCCCCGGGCUUAACCUGGGAACUGCGCUUGUUACUGGCAGGCUGGAGUGUGGCAGAGGGGGGUGGAAUUCCACGUGUAGCAGUGAAAUGCGUAGAGAUGUGGAGGAACACCGAUGGCGAAGGCAGCCCCCUGGGCUAACACUGACGCUCAUGCACGAAAGCGUGGGGAGCAAACAGG